RNAcentral lists this ribosomal RNA (491 nucleotides) under uncultured bacterium. RNAcentral's name for it is "bacterial SSU rRNA". It matches the Rfam family "Bacterial small subunit ribosomal RNA", at positions 29 to 507 of the family's 1533-position model. The record is from RNAcentral.
AUGAACGCUAGCUACAGGCUUAACACAUGCAAGUCGAGGGGCAGCAUGGUCAUUGGCUUGCCAAUGAUUGAUGGCGACCGGCGCACGGGUGCGUAACGCGUAUCCAACCUUCCCGAUACUCUUGGAUAGCCUUCCGAAAGGGAGAUUAAUACAAGAUGGUGUUUCACUUUCGCAUGUUAUUGAAACUAAAGAUUUAUCGGUAUCGGAUGGGGAUGCGUGACAUUAGAUAGUAGGCGGGGUAACGGCCCACCUAGUCUACGAUGUCUAGGGGUUCUGAGAGGAAGGUCCCCCACACUGGAACUGAGACACGGUCCAGACUCCUACGGGAGGCAGCAGUGAGGAAUAUUGGUCAAUGGUCGAGAGACUGAACCAGCCAAGUAGCGUGAAGGAUGACUGCCCUACGGGUUGUAAACUUCUUUUGUUUGGGAAUAAAUGAUACUACGUGUAGUAUUUUGCAUGUACCUUACGAAUAAGCAUCGGCUAAUUCCGUG